AAAUUGAAGAGUUUGAUCAUGGCUCAGAUUGAACGCUGGCGGCAGGCCUAACACAUGCAAGUCGAACGGUAACAGAAAGCAGCUUGCUGCUUUGCUGACGAGUGGCGGACGGGUGAGUAAUGUCUGGGAAACUGCCUGAUGGAGGGGGAUAACUACUGGAAACGGUGGCUAAUACCGCAUAACGUCGCAAGACCAAAGAGGGG
Molecule: ribosomal RNA, 203 nt
Filed under: Salmonella enterica
Lineage: Bacteria; Pseudomonadati; Pseudomonadota; Gammaproteobacteria; Enterobacterales; Enterobacteriaceae
Also listed under: 3 other names
Description: partial 16S ribosomal RNA
Rfam family: Bacterial small subunit ribosomal RNA
Source: RNAcentral